This 299-nucleotide long non-coding RNA is filed under the name Homo sapiens (human). RNAcentral describes it as "HSALNT0315101". Lineage: Eukaryota; Metazoa; Chordata; Mammalia; Primates; Hominidae. The record is from RNAcentral.
GCCAUCAAGCUCUAGAGGAUCCUCAGUGAGAGAUAUGACCUCUCAAUAUUCAAGAGUCACUCAUCUACAGGGGACCCUAGACUGCCCAGCAGUGAGACAUGGCAGGUGAAGUCCUGCCCCUGUCUCCCUUGGACCUGACUGGAUACAGCUUUCAUGAACCCAUGGAGCCAACCCUGCCCUGACAGCUAGCAAGAGGCCAAGACCAACAGUACAACUACAAUCAGGAAUGCGACUGUUAAGAGAAGAACACCUCAAGUGAGCAUGCGCAAAAUUUUGAGUCUCACUCUGUUGCCCGGGCU